ACUACUAUAAAGCCAGGCGUCGUCUUUGGUGUUAAAGGCUUCACCAAUUUUUUGAAGUCCCCAAAUUGUCCACCACAUAUACAAAGUUCAGUAAAACAAAAGAUAUCAAAGAGGGUUAUUACUGUAAAAUACCACGAAAAUGUAGGAAAAUAUAAAUACGGAAGCACAAGACUCUUGCGGCAGAGAGAAGAAAUGAAAAAAAAAAAAAAAAAAAAACUUCACGCACAACAUCGAAGAACUACUGUACGCACGAUCUUGGAAUGAACGAAGCAUUUGGAGAUCGUGGGGCGUGAUCGGAGCAGAGAUGGCUUCAACUACCUGAUACAGUUUAUACAAAAGGGAAACACAGCCCGAAUAGAGGAACAGAGGAAAAUAAAAAAUCAAAAUCCUUAUUCGAAAAUUCAGGUAUAAGAUUUUCGAAAAGAUGAUUAUGUAUUGGUCUUUUCAUUUCCGGUUUGGUUUUCUCUGAAUUUUGCAGAUAUCUUGAAGAGAGAUUAAUUCUUUUGUUCCAGAUUGUGUCUUGCAACUUGCAAGGUAUGGUAAUGAAUUUUCAGGUAACGCAAUAGUUGCUAGGGGGAGAGGGAGGGGAGAGAUUGGCUGGCUAUAUGCUAAUUGCAACAAUUUUUAGAAUAUUUAGUUUUUAUGUGAAUGUAAAGUGAUAGGGGCUUAAUUAAGCUUCAAAUUCUGGAAGCUGUAGCCUGUAGAAAUUUUUGUUUUUGUAUUUCCACCUUUUGAUUGUUAAUUAUGUUACCAUAACUGAUAAUUCAUGCUGGGAUGAGUUUAACCAAACCAUGAGUGGUAUCCAAAUUCAGUUUAGUUACAAUUAAUGAGUCAUGCUUAUACUCUAAAUAUCUUUUCAGA
Molecule: long non-coding RNA, 861 nt
Organism: Rosa rugosa (rugosa rose)
Lineage: Eukaryota; Viridiplantae; Streptophyta; Magnoliopsida; Rosales; Rosaceae
Exons: 2
Source: RefSeq, a predicted model, not a curated record